GUGCCCCUAUUCAAAUGAUGUUGCAUAAUUUACGCCUCUUUGGGUACUCUUUGGUAGAGGCUUUUUUUUUUCAGAUAUUGGAUCCCAUUAUCUUCAUUGUCAACUCCUCCCGUGAUUGUUGUAAAGAAGUUGCAAG
Molecule: non-coding RNA, 136 nt
Organism: Caenorhabditis elegans
Lineage: Eukaryota; Metazoa; Nematoda; Chromadorea; Rhabditida; Rhabditidae
Source: Ensembl